GAUGAACGCUGGCGGCGUGCCUAAUACAUGCAAGUCGAGCGAACGGACGAGUAGCUUGCUUCUCUGAUGUUAGCGGCGGACGGGUGAGUAACACGUGGAUAACCUACCUAUAAGACUGGGAUAACUUCGGGAAACCGGAGCUAAUACCGGAUAAUAUUUUGAACCGCAUGGUUCAAAAGUGAAAGACGGUCUUGCUGUCACUUAUAGAUGGAUCCGCGCUGCAUUAGCUAGUUGGUAAGGUAACGGCUUACCAAGGCAACGAUGCAUAGCCGACCUGAGAGGGUGAUCGGCCACACUGGAACUGAGACACGGUCCAGACUCCUACGGGAGGCAGCAGUAGGGAAUCUUCCGCAAUGGGCGAAAGCCUGACGGAGCAACGCCGCGUGAGUGAUGAAGGUCUUCGGAUCGUAAAACUCUGUUAUUAGGGAGGAACAUAUGUGUAAGUAACUGUGCACAUCUUGACGGUACCUAAUCAGAAAGCCACGGCUAACUACGUG
RNAcentral lists this ribosomal RNA (497 nucleotides) under uncultured bacterium. Its description in RNAcentral is "partial 16S ribosomal RNA". It matches the Rfam family "Bacterial small subunit ribosomal RNA", at positions 28 to 507 of the family's 1533-position model. The record is from RNAcentral.